CUACGGGGUGCACCAGUGGGGAAUAUUGGACAAUGGGGGCAACCCUGAUCCAGCAAUGCCGCGUGUGUGAAGAAGGCCUGAGGGUUGUAAAGCACUUUCAGUGGGGAGGAAGACUGGCAGGUUAAGAGCUGGUUAGUUUGACGUUACCCACAGAAGAAGCACCGGCUAACUCCGUGCCAGCAGCCGCGGUAAUACGGGGGGUGCGAGCGUUAAUCGGAAUUAUUGGGCGUAAAGGGUGCGUAGGUGGUUUAUUAAGUUAUCUGUGAAAUUCCUGGGCUUAACCUAGGUAGGUCAGAUAAGACUGGUAGACUCGAGUAUGGGAGAGGGUAGUGGAAUUUCCGGUGUAGCGGUGAAAUGCGUAGAGAUCGGAAGGAACACCAGUGGCGAAGGCGGCUACCUGGCCUAAUACUGACACUGAGGCACGAAAGCGUGGGGAGCAAACAGGAUUAGAUACCCUAGUAGUC
This 464-nucleotide ribosomal RNA is filed under the name uncultured bacterium. RNAcentral's name for it is "partial 16S ribosomal RNA". It matches the Rfam family "Bacterial small subunit ribosomal RNA", at positions 339 to 795 of the family's 1533-position model. The record is from RNAcentral.